This 380-nucleotide ribosomal RNA is filed under the name uncultured eukaryote. RNAcentral's name for it is "partial 18S ribosomal RNA". It matches the Rfam family "Eukaryotic small subunit ribosomal RNA", at positions 592 to 976 of the family's 1831-position model. The record is from RNAcentral.
CAAUAGCGUAUAUUAAAGUUGUUGCAGUUAAAAAGCUCGUAGUUGGAUUUGUGGCGUACGGUGUGUUCCGGGCACUUGUUGUCUGAGUAACCUGCCGUUGCCAUCCUUGGGUGGAACCUGUGUGGCAUUAGGUUGUCGUGCAGGGGAUGCCCAUCAUUUACUGUGAAAAAAUUAGAGUGUUCAAAGCAGGCUUAUGCCGUUGAAUAUAUUAGCAUGGAAUAAUGAGAUAGGACUUUUUUGCUAUUUUGUUGGUUUGCGCAAGAAGGUAAUGAUUAAUAGGGACAGUUGGGGGUAUUCGUAUUCCAUUGUCAGAGGUGAAAUUCUUGGAUUUUUGGAAGACGAACUACUGCGAAAGCAUUUACCAAGGAUGUUUUCAUUAA